RNAcentral lists this RNase P RNA (476 nucleotides) under Corynebacterium lactis RW2-5. RNAcentral describes it as "bacterial RNase P". It matches the Rfam family "Bacterial RNase P class A". From Rfam's summary of the family: Ribonuclease P (RNase P) is a ubiquitous endoribonuclease, found in archaea, bacteria and eukarya as well as chloroplasts and mitochondria. Its best characterised activity is the generation of mature 5'-ends of tRNAs by cleaving the 5'-leader elements of precursor-tRNAs. The record is from RNAcentral. Lineage: Bacteria; Bacillati; Actinomycetota; Actinomycetes; Mycobacteriales; Corynebacteriaceae.
CGAGUCGGCCGGGUAAUCGCGGCAGCUAAAGGAACCGGUCAACGCCCGCUGCGCGGGUGAUUGGCCAGGCCACUGUCGAGGAAAGUCCGGACUCCACAGGGCGCGGUGGUUGCUAACGGCAACCCAGGGUGACCUGCGGGAACAGUGCCACAGAAAACAAACCGCCGGCCCCAAAAGUCUUUGGCUUUUGGCGCCGGUAAGGGUGAAAAGGUGCGGUAAGAGCGCACCAGCGGCGUAGGUGACUGCGCCGGCUAGGUAAACCCCACCGGGAGCAAGGCAAGAGCGCGCACGAGGCGGACAGGCCCAGCCUGCCGUGGCGUGUGCGUGCGCGAGCGUUUGAGGGCUGCCCGCCCGAUGCCCGCGGGUAUGCUGCUUCAGGCUGUCAGCAAUGGCAGGCCGAGAUGGAUGAUUACCGCCCCGGGUCCUUGAAAGGGCCUUGAGGGGAACAGAAUCCGGCUCAUAGGCCGACUCGCUCG